UUUUUAGACCCUUUCAAGCACUUCUAAAGACAACGCCCCAGGAUGGGAACAUAGCAAGGCACCUUUUUUAGUGUUGUGUUUGGGUAUCUGGAAAGGA
RNAcentral lists this signal recognition particle RNA (97 nucleotides) under Aliarcobacter skirrowii CCUG 10374. RNAcentral's name for it is "Arcobacter skirrowii CCUG 10374 bacterial signal recognition particle RNA (4.5S RNA)". It matches the Rfam family "Bacterial small signal recognition particle RNA". From Rfam's summary of the family: The signal recognition particle (SRP) is a universally conserved ribonucleoprotein involved in the co-translational targeting of proteins to membranes. Archaeal SRP consists of a 7S RNA and homologues of the eukaryotic SRP19 and SRP54 proteins. Lineage: Bacteria; Pseudomonadati; Campylobacterota; Epsilonproteobacteria; Campylobacterales; Arcobacteraceae. The record is from RNAcentral.